CUUGGUCAUUUAGAGGAAGUAAAAGUCGUAACAAGGUCUCCGUUGGUGAACCAGCGGAGGGAUCAUUACAGAGUUGCAAAACUCCCAACCAUUGUUAACCUUACCAUUACCGUUGCUUCGGCGGGUGGCUCCCUUCGGGGCGCUGCGCCCUCCCUUGCGGAAGGCAGCCCGCCAGAGGUACACUAAACUCUCGUAUUAAUUGGCAUCUCUGAGUAACUUAUAAAAUAAGUCAAAACUUUCAACAACGGAUCUCUUGGUUCUGGCAUCGGUGAAGAACGCAGCGAAAUGCGAUAAGUAAUGUGAAUUGCAGAAUUCAGUGAAUCAUCGAAUCUUUGAACGCACAUUGCGCCCGCUAGUAUUCUGGCGGGCAUGCCUGUUCGAGCGUCAUUUCAACCAUCAAGCCCUAGGUUUGUGUUGGGGCCCUGCGGCCGUCCGCAGCCCCCGAAAAGCAGUGGCGGGCUCGCUGUAGUACCGAGCGUAGUAAUAUAUCUCGCGAGGAUGUUAUAGUGUGUUCUGGCCGUUAAACCCCCCAAUUAUCAAGGUUGACCUCGGAUCAGGUAGGAAUACCCGCUGAACUUAAGCAUAUCAAUAAGCGGAGGA
This 600-nucleotide ribosomal RNA is filed under the name uncultured fungus. RNAcentral's name for it is "eukaryotic LSU rRNA". The stretch from base 234 to 387 matches the Rfam family "5.8S ribosomal RNA". Lineage: Eukaryota; Fungi. The record is from RNAcentral.